CAUGAGGAUACCUGUCCUGACUCCCCAAGAUGGUUCCCACUGUCACCCAAGGUAGUUUGGGGGACAACUUGUCAUGCUGCAUACCCUUAUGUCACAGGAUCUGGUGAACAGGUCAUUCCUGGAGGUCGCAUUCAUUGCACUUCGAGUCUCUCGGGGGCUGACAUCCCACAGAAAAGUGAAGCAUUCUUCCUAGUUCCAUAGCUCUCCUUAUGUACUCUUGAAAGACCCCUGGAGCCUAUGUGGAAUAAAAUAGAGUGUAUAUAAUUAAAUAUUCCUUUUAUGAGUGUCACUAUUUUCUCAUUUUUUUCAGUAUUCGUUCCACUAACAUUUUUCGGAAUCUGGAGUCCACCCGUUGUUUGCUGGCUGGGCUUUUCCAGUGUCAGAAAGAAGGACCCAUCAUCAUCCACACUGAUGAAGCAGAUUCAGAAGUCUUGUAUCCCAACUACCAAAGCUGCUGGAGCCUGAGGCAGAGAACCAGAGGCCGGAGGCAGACUGCCUCUUUACAGCCAGGAAUCUCAGAGGAUUUGAAAAAGGUGAAGGACAGGAUGGGCAUUGACAGUAGUGAUAAAGUGGACUUCUUCAUCCUCCUGGACAACGUGGCUGCCGAGCAGGAGAAGAUGGGCUCCUGCAGGUUCCAUGGAAGCUGAUCAGCUGCCAAAAUCAGUAGGUGAG
Molecule: small RNA, 672 nt
Filed under: Pan troglodytes (chimpanzee)
Lineage: Eukaryota; Metazoa; Chordata; Mammalia; Primates; Hominidae
Description: retained intron
Source: RNAcentral